GAUGAACGCUGGCGGCGUGCCUAAUACAUGCAAGUCGAGCGAACAGACGAGGAGCUUGCUCCUCUGACGUUAGCGGCGAACGGGUGAGUAACACGUGGAUAACCUACCUAUAAGACUGGGAUAACUUCGGGAAACCGGUGCUAAUACCGCAUAAUAUAUUUAACCGUAUGGUUCAAUAGUGAAAGACGCUUUUGCUGCAACCUAUAGAUGGAUCCGCGCCGCAUUAGCUAGUUGGUAAGGUAACGGCCUACCAAGGCAACGUAGCGUACCCGACCUGAGAGGGGGAUCGGCCACACGGGAACUGAGACACGGUCAAGACUCCUACGGGAGGCAGCAGAAGGGAAUCUUCGGCAAGGGGCGAAGGCCGGACGGAGAAACGCCGCGGGAGGGAUGAAGGUCUUCGGAUCGUAAAACUCUGUUAUUGGGGAAGAACAAAUGUGUAAGUAACUAUGCACGUCUUGACGGUACCUAAUCAGAAAGCCACGGCUAACUACGUG
Molecule: ribosomal RNA, 497 nt
Filed under: uncultured bacterium
Lineage: Bacteria
Description: partial 16S ribosomal RNA
Rfam family: Bacterial small subunit ribosomal RNA
Source: RNAcentral